CUGUAACGUUGUUUGUUUACAUAUAAAAUUCUUUUGCUACUAAUAAAUGUUUGUAAAUAUUCUGUAAAAACAAUGCCCAGAAAACGCAAAUCUAAUCUUUCGAAGAGAAGUUAUAAAGCUUGGGUUAUGGAAGUAGCUAGAAGACCUGUUUGCAAUUUUAGUGAGCACUUGUGAACUGUCAAACCUCCUCCAGUUGUGUGAUACAUACAAGGACGCUUUGUAAGAAGAUAUCGUGGCUGGAGGAAGGCUUCGUAUCAGAGUUUGGAAGCAAUAUUAUAAAAACUACCAUUAUUACAGGAGCUGCUAAAGGAGGCGACGUUUUAAUUAACCACAUACCUGUUAUUCCAAACAACUUGUCAUUUUUUUUCAAGAGGUUGCAAUAUCCUUUAAAAUUGGCUUUUACAAUGACGAUCAACAAAUCCCAGCGCCAAACCAGGGCUUAAUGUUGUAUACAUUAUGGUAUUAGAAUAUAAAUUAAUGUUGAAAUUUUCCCAUAGACCUUUCUCAAUCAGUUACAAGUUUCUUGAUUAUAUCAUAUCAGACUUUGCUUUCAACAACACUAUAAUGAUAUGGUUUGAUAACAUUUUACAUUUUGAUCAGACCGUCAGUUCUUAUACAUACACAUCAAAAUUUCCACACAAACGAAGUCGCGGGUAAUGGCUAGUUUAUAAUAAAGCUCAAUGUGUGUACGCUCGACAGGCCAGACCGUUUGACCUACAGUUACCUAAUUUGGCACAUGUAUACCUUGGAGAUCGAGAAUGUGCACCUCGUUUUGUUUUUUUCGAAUUUUAUUAUCUUUUUAAUUAUACUAAUGUUUUAAUCUAUAAAUUAAAUUUCUAUGUUUUAACAAAUCAUAUUUUUGAACAGCUUAUUUCAUACAAAAUAAAAUUUAACUUGCACAAGCACGUUACGUGCAUAUGGGGGGGGGGAAUUAGCUUUUAUCAAAGUGUUGCCAUCAUAUUGACAAAAAGUCUAAUUAAAAUAUAAAUCAAUUGUUAAUACAAAUUAAAUAUAUAAAGAUGUAAUUUUCAGCAUGUGUCUGUAUGAAAAGAAAUAAAUAUGAAAUAGGAUAUUUUAUAAAAAGUAAAUGCAAAAAAAAAAUUCAAUGACUUUUGCUAUUAAUUCAAUAAAUAUACUAUUAAUUUAAUAAAUCAGCUUUAUUUAAGACAAACAUUGUUUAAUAUAUAUCCUUUCAAUUCAAGGGCUGUAACGGCUGUUUUGUUAAUCUUUUUUAAUAGAAAUAAAUGUAUUAGAAUAGUCUAAAUGAAAUAAAUAAUUGUAUUAUAUGUAACUUGAGACAACAAAUGAAGAAUGUUUAGCUUUUGUCUAGCUCCUCUACUCUGUGAAUCAUGUUUAACAAAAUAUUUUUCAGACACUAAUAUUUUAAAUAAAAAGUUAUAUUUGAAUCAACUAAGUCAGUCACUAAAACUGACUGAAUUAUGAAUAUUUGAAUAUCACUAUUCAACAAAAAUGGGAGAUUUUAGAUGACUUCAUUGACCAUUUCGAAGAUGGUAACCUAAUUUGCGUUCAGGGUUUCUCAACACUGAUUUUUCCAAGAUUAUGAAAAUAUUGAUUGUUCUAAACUAUUCUAUUCUAAACUAUUCUAUUCAAAACUUCAUAAUUCAAUCAAAUUUGAUAGCAGAAGAUAGAAACCUUCAUUUAUUUAUUUAAAAGUUGAAGUGUCGAGAAUAUUUCACAGAAUAUGAUUCCUUAGAACCAAAGGACUAUAUAAAAUUUAGGCUUCAUAAUUUUUUGAAUUAUAUUUAUAGACCAAAACAAAAUAAAAUAUUGUUAUUUAAAUCCUUUUGAAAGUAAAACUGAAUUUUAUGAUGAAUCUUAAGAAUUUUUUGUUGAAUAAUUCUUGAGAUAUUACAUAAAUUAUGGAAAUUCUGUAGUACACAUAACAAUUCUCUUUUCAGCACUCAUAUUUUUUAAAAAAAUGGUUGGUUUCAGUAAAAAAAUGUUUUUAUAUCAAUGGCAGUUUAAAUGUUUCCCCUUUAAUUUAAAGUUGAAAUUUUGCGGGAAUUGACAGAUAAAAUUUAGUUUUAAAAGAGAUAAUUUUUUAAGAAUGUAUAGAAAAAAGUACUGCCAAUAUUGGAAAUUAAAAAGGCAUAUUUUUAUCCUUAUGCAUUUAUUUUACUGCUUAUAUAUAAUAUGUACUCAUUUUUUUUAUAUGUUGUUUUAUAUACUAAUAUUAUCUUUAUAUUCUUUUGACAACUUUUCGGUGGUUGAAGAUUAACAAAAUCCAAAUAAAUUUUGUUUGGUUUGAAAAAGAAGAUUGUAUUAAAUUUCAGUCAACUUGCCUGAAUGCAUUAAAAUCUGUAUCAAAUAGUAUUUAGUAGGAGCUGCAUUUCUUAAUAUUAAUUUGAUUUUUCCCUCAUAAGGUAAGUAAAAGAAAAUUAUUUAAAAUUGCAAAUAUAUGAGCAGUAAUUUUUCUCUUGUGGGCAAUGCAGUUUUUACAUUCAUGGAUUUUAUUCUUAUAAUUUUCUAGAUCUCAUGUUUAAAAAAAAGAUGGUCAGGGUCAACAAAGUGAAUAUUUCUAUAGAAAAUGAAAUCCAUGUAUUUAUCACAGCCUACAAAUUAAUAAAAGUAAAAUUUGUGUAAUUAUAAUUUUUAACAACUUUCAGUUUGUAUCUAUUUUAGCAUUUUUUAUAUUGUUGUAUUCAAAAUAUUACUGAAAUUGGAUAUGUACAGAAUGACAUAAGUUCAACUGAAGUGGGGAAGUAUUUCUUAUAUAAAAUUUGUGACAUAUUUUUAAAAAAAUUUUUGUGGUUUGAUUAUGUGACUCAAGACAUAUUAUACUAAUAUUGUGUAUGAAAAGAUCAUCUAUUUUGAUACCUGUUAAAAUGUGAUAAAUGAAAAUUCAAGCAAAUAUUUAUAUAAAAAUGUACUGGUAAUAUCUGAUCAUUAAUAUUUAAUUUUAAAAUUCUCUAACUUUCCUAGCAAAAUCUAUUAUUUUAAAACAACUUGUGCUGAAUAUUAAGGAAAAUAAUAGAAUUCUAUCGGAAUUAGUAAAGCUAAUAAAACUGUGGGAUUUUUUUUUUUUUUUUUCCCCUUCUGCAUAAUGAAAAACAAUUUUUUUUUUCACAUUAUAUAUAUAAUAUAGAUCAUCAUCAAAUAAAAAUCUGAAAUAUAUCUGAACAAAUAAGCUAUAUAAUAAAUUAUUUAUUCUUUAAGAGAAAGAUCAGUUUUUAAAAUGUCACAAAUGUGUUUUAUUAUUGUUAGUAUUGUAUAACUACAGUGGGCCACAAAAUUGAAUUAGAAAUUGCACCUUAGAAACUUAGAGACUUUUUGUAAUUACAAAUUAAAUAUUGCUUUAAGAUAAUUGAAAUUUUUACCUUAUAUACUUUAGUCUAUGCUUUACCGUACUAUACUAAUAAAAUUGUUACGUUUAUUUAUUUUUUACGAAAAAAAAUAAAAGAUCUGAGACAAGAGGAAAAACAACAUCACAAAAAUAAGUAUACACCUUUAUUAAUUUCCUUUUAACGUACAAAUUAAUAUUUUGUUACAUUACCUUUUGUUUGAAUUACAGCUUGUAAUCUUCUGGGCAUAGAUUCUACUAGUGUUUUAGUGGUUUCAACAGAAAUUUUAGCCCAUUCUUCUCUCAGAACCUUCUUGAGAACUUCCUUGCUUAUGAUUUCGUGCUCAUGUACAGCUUUCUCUAAUUGCGACCACAAAUUUUCGAUGACGUUUAGGUCUGGAGACUGGGCUGGAGUGUGUAAUUGCUUCCUGCAAUGGUACAGCAAGUAUAACUGCACAAUCUUCACUGUAUGCUUGGGGUCGUUGUCCUGCUGUAAUAUUGACCCAAGCCCCAACUUACUGGCCCUUUUUUUCAAGUUAUCAUUUAAAAUUCCCAAAUAUACAUGUUUGUCCAUAAUACCAUCAAUAAAAGAAAGCUCUCCAACUUCUCCAGCCGACAUACAACCCCAAACGAGGACAGAUCCACCUCCGAACCUGACUGUCUUAAUAGUGUUUUUAGGUGCCAGUGCUUUCCCAGCGUCUCUCCAUAUUUUAAAUCAUCCAUCGCUUCUGUAAAGAUUAAACUUACUUUCAUCAGAAAAUAUUACAGUGUUCCAGAAAGAUAUAGGCUUUAAACGAUGUUCUUUGGUGAAAAUCACUCUCUUUUGUCUAUUCACAUACUUGAUGAGUGUCUUUCAUAUUGGUGUACGGCCAUGAAACCCAUACUAGUGAAGGGUACGUCGAAUUGUUUCAUCUGAGAUCUUUUUCAGGAUUGUAGAGGACAUCGAUAAAGUUAGUUUAGAGGCACUCACCCUCGGAUCUUUCUUUACUGAGUGAAUGAUCUUCCUCUUCACUGUAGUACUCAGUAUUUCUUUACGUCCUCUUCCAGAAAUAUUGGCUACAGAUCCAGUUUUUUUAUACUUCUGUAGUAUUUUUUGGACACAACCAUGAGUUACACCACUCAACGAAGCGAUUUCUCGAAGAGAUAUGCCCUAUUUCAACCAUUUUACAACCAAUAAACGUUCAGAUUCAGUAGUUUCUCUAUGAGAGCUCAUUUUACGAUUUUAAUGAGAAAAAAUACUAUUUAAAAGCGUUGAAGUGCAAUAGCACGUGUUAUAAGCAGCAGCUACUCCUGAAACUCUUUAAAAAAAUUUGAAACUAAAAAACAGUGGCGGCAAAAUUUACAAAUAUAAGAAGUGUAUACUCAAUUUCGUGGCAUGGUUUUCUAUCUUUUCUUCGAAUCACUUAACUUUUUUCGUAAUAAAUAAGUUAACUAUAGAAUUUUGUUAUUAUAGGAUGGUAAAGCAAAGGUUAAAGUAUCUAGGAUAAAAAAAAUUAUCUAUUUUAAUUCAAUAUUUAAUUUGUAAUUGGAAGAAGUCUAAAAGUUUUAGAGGUGUAUACUCAAUUUUAUGGCUCACUGUAUAUGCAGACUUUCUUUUCCUACUACUUCAUCUGUUUAUCUAAUAAAAGACUUUCACAUUUA
Argiope bruennichi is the source of this 4942-nucleotide long non-coding RNA. RefSeq lists it as uncharacterized. NCBI's taxonomy places the organism in Eukaryota, Metazoa, Arthropoda, Arachnida, Araneae, Araneidae. The transcript is spliced from 2 exons. The record is from RefSeq and is a predicted model, not a curated record.